This 1428-nucleotide ribosomal RNA is filed under the name metagenome. RNAcentral describes it as "bacterial SSU rRNA". It matches the Rfam family "Archaeal small subunit ribosomal RNA". The record is from RNAcentral.
ACCCGUUGAUCCUGCGGGAGAUUGCUGCUAUCGGAAUUCGACUAAGACAUGCAAGUCUUCUACCAAUAGAGGCGAAAUGCUCAGUAACACGUCGAUAACUUACCCUUAAGUCUGGAAUAAACUUGGUAAACUGAGUGUAAUACCGGAUAGAGAAAUUAUACUGGAAUGUUUUUUUCUCUAAAGCUUCGGCGCUUAAGGAUAGGUCGGCGGUGGAUUAGGUUGUUGGCGGGGUAAUGGCCCACCAAGCCGAAGAUCCGUAAGGGCCUUGAAAGAGGUAGCCCUGAGAAGGACACUGAGAUACUGGUCCUAGCCCUACGGGGUGCAGCAGUCGCGUAACCUUGUCAAUGCACGCAAGUGUGAACAGGGAAUUCCGAGUGCUUAUGCUUUGCAUAGGCUUUUGUUAAGAGUUAAAAUCUUAGCGAAUAAGCGGUGGGUAAGACUGGUGCCAGCAGCCGCGGUAACACCAGCGCCGCUAGUGGGAAUCGUAUAUUUGGUCUAAAGCGUCCGUAGCCGGACAGGCAAAUCUUCUGUGAAAUUGGGAAGCUUAACUUUCCAGCGUGCAGAAGACACUACCAGUCUUGGAACCGGGAGGGGUACAGAGUAUUCCAGGGGAAGCGGUAAAAUGCUAUAAUCCCUGGAGGACUACCUAUGGCGAAGGCACUGUACCAGAACGGAUUCGACGGUGAGGGACGAAAGCCAGGGGAGCGAUCCGGAUUAGAUACCCGAGUAGUCCUGGCCGUAAACGCUGUGAGCUAGGUGUUGCACAUUCCACGUGAAUGUGCAGUAUCGAAGCGAAGGUGUUAAGCUCACCACCUGGGAAGUAUGGUCGCAAGGCUGAAACUUAAAGGAAUUGGCGGGGGAGCACUACAAGGGGUGCGGCGUGCGGUUUAAUCUAAUUCAACGCAGAGAACCUCACUAGAAGCGACGGCAGGAUGAAGGUCAGGCUGAAGGUCUUACCAGACGAGCCGAGAGGUGGUGCAUGGCCGUCGUCAGCUCGUGCUGUAAGGUGUCCUGUUAAGUCAGGCAACGAGCAAGAUCUGUACCCAUAAUUGCCAGCGUGUUCAUUGAAUGAACGGGCACAUUAUGGGGACUGCCCUGGAAACAGGGAGGAAGGUGCAGGCUACGAUAGGUCUGUAUGCCCCGAAUCUUCUAGGCUACACGCGCGCAACAAUGGUAGGAACAAUGGGCUGCAACUCCGAAAGGAGAAGCUAAUCCUCGAAAUCCUAUCUCAGUCUAGAUUGAGGGUUGGAACCCACCCUCAUGACAAUGGAAUCCCUCGUAAUCGGACGUUAGCAUCGUCCGGUGAAUAUGUCCCUGCUCCUUGCACACACCGCCCGUCAAACCACCCGAGCAGGGUUUGGGUGAGGUUUGCCUUUUUAGGCAACACGAAUCUAAACUCAGUGAGGUGGGUUAAGUCGUCACAAGGUA